AACGAACGCUGGCGGCAUGCCUAACACAUGCAAGUCGAACGAGACCUUCGGGUCUAGUGGCGCACGGGUGCGUAACGCGUGGGAACCUGCCCUUAGGUUCGGAAUAACUCCCCGAAAGGGGUGCUAAUACCGGAUAAUGUCUUCGGACCAAAGAUUUAUCGCCUUUGGAUGGGCCCGCGUUGGAUUAGCUAGUUGGUAGGGUAAAAGCCUACCAAGGCGACGAUCCAUAGCUGGUCUGAGAGGAUGAUCAGCCACACUGGGACUGAGACACGGCCCAGACUCCUCCGGGAGGCCGCAGUGGGGAAAAUGGGACAAUGGGCGAAAGCCUGACCCACCAAUGCCGCGGGAGUGAUGAAGGCCUUAGGGUUGUAAAGCUCUUUUACCCGGGAUGAUAAUGACAGUCCCGGGAGAAUAAGCCCCGGCUAACUCCGU
RNAcentral lists this ribosomal RNA (432 nucleotides) under uncultured bacterium. RNAcentral describes it as "partial 16S ribosomal RNA". It matches the Rfam family "Bacterial small subunit ribosomal RNA", at positions 29 to 506 of the family's 1533-position model. The record is from RNAcentral.